Molecule: long non-coding RNA, 279 nt
Organism: Herpailurus yagouaroundi (jaguarundi)
Lineage: Eukaryota; Metazoa; Chordata; Mammalia; Carnivora; Felidae
Exons: 3
Source: RefSeq, a predicted model, not a curated record
GAAACCAAGAGCCAGAUACUCAACUGACUGAGCCACCGAGGCUCCCUACUGUCCAAGAUGUGGGAGCCAUGAGGAGAGGGGCAGAGUAAUCCUGGACAAGGCCAUCCUACUAGCCAGCCCCCAGCCAUCCUGCCAGCUGACCACAGAUGCAUGAAGAAGCCCAGAGCUGCCUGGAGUCAUUUCCUGCAGGAAUUUCACGUCUUCCCAUUGAAGUGUUCCAGCAGCUGGUAACCAAAUCAUCAACUCAGGCCAUGGGUGAUUCUCCAGGCUCCAAUUACA